RNAcentral lists this ribosomal RNA (740 nucleotides) under Shigella sonnei. Its description in RNAcentral is "partial 23S ribosomal RNA". It matches the Rfam family "Bacterial large subunit ribosomal RNA", at positions 139 to 920 of the family's 2925-position model. The record is from RNAcentral. Lineage: Bacteria; Pseudomonadati; Pseudomonadota; Gammaproteobacteria; Enterobacterales; Enterobacteriaceae.
UUCGUCACACUAUCAUUAACUGAAUCCAUAGGUUAAUGAGGCGAACCGGGGGAACUGAAACAUCUAAGUACCCCGAGGAAAAGAAAUCAACCGAGAUUCCCCCAGUAGCGGCGAGCGGACGGGGAGCAGCCCAGAGCCUGAAUCAGUGUGUGUGUUAGUGGAAGCGUCUGGAAAGGCGUGCGAUACAGGGUGACAGCCCCGUACACAAAAAUGCACAUAUUGUGAGCUUGAUGAGUAGGGCGGGACACGUGGUAUCCUGUCUGAAUAUGGGGGGACCAUCCUCCAAGGCUAAAUACUCCUGACUGACCGAUAGUGAACCAGUACCGUGAGGGAAAGGCGAAAAGAACCCCGGCGAGGGGAGUGAAAAAGAACCUGAAACCGUGUACGUACAAGCAGUGGGAGCACGCUUAGGCGUGUGACUGCGUACCUUUUGUAUAAUGGGUCAGCGACUUAUAUUCUGUAGCAAGGUUAACCGAAUAGGGGAGCCGAAGGGAAACCGAGUCUUAACUGGGCGUUAAGUUGCAGGGUAUAGACCCGAAACCCGGUGAUCUAGCCAUGGGCAGGUUGAAGGUUGGGUAACACUAACUGGAGGACCGAACCGACUAAUGUUGAAAAAUUAGCGGAUGACUUGUGGCUGGGGGUGAAAGGCCAAUCAAACCGGGAGAUAGCUGGUUCUCCCCGAAAGCUAUUUAGGUAGCGCCUCGUGAAUUCAUCUCCGGGGGUAGAGCACUGUUUCGGCA